UACGGAGGGUGCGAGCGUUGUCCGGAAUCAUUGGGCGUAAAGGGCGCGUAGGUGGCCCGGUCAGUUCGUGGUGAAAGCGCGGGGCUCAACCCCGCGUCGGCCAUGGAUACUGCUGGGCUCGAGCACUGUAGAGGCAGGCGGAAUUCCGGGUGUAGCGGUGGAAUGCGUAGAGAUCCGGAAGAACACCGGUGGCGAAGGCGGCCUGCUGGGCAGUAGCUGACACUGAGGCGCGACAGCGUGGGGAGCAAACAGGAUUAGAAACCCCCAGUAGUCC
This 274-nucleotide ribosomal RNA is filed under the name uncultured prokaryote. Its description in RNAcentral is "partial 16S ribosomal RNA". It matches the Rfam family "Bacterial small subunit ribosomal RNA", at positions 524 to 796 of the family's 1533-position model. The record is from RNAcentral.